RNAcentral lists this long non-coding RNA (490 nucleotides) under Lactuca sativa (garden lettuce). RNAcentral's name for it is "long non-coding RNA (LSAT_LNC010035)". The record is from RNAcentral. Lineage: Eukaryota; Viridiplantae; Streptophyta; Magnoliopsida; Asterales; Asteraceae.
CGCUUGCUCUGCUCAUCCUCGAAAGUACCACCGAACUCUGCAACUCUUCCCCUCGUGGUUUCUAACUAUUCUUUCGCUAAGUACCACAGUACUUAUCUAGUUAUCUACCCUAGAUUACUCCUCUACUCAAAUCCCCUAAAGGAUUCCAACUAAAUAUUCUCACUCAUCACAUACUGAAAAGCACAUCGCAUAUAACAGCAAUCCCUAGGCUAAGGCAUCACNGUACUUAUCUAGGUAUCUCCCCUAGAUUACUCCUCUACUCAAAUCCCCUAAAGGAUUCCAACUAAAUAUUCUCACUCAUCACAUACUCAAAAGCACAUCGCAUAUAACAGCAAUCCCUAGGCUAAGGCAUCACAAAUUAGGCCACUCUAGUCCUAAGAUAUGGGAUAUCUAGCCUGUCUCUAGCAUGCAAAAAUAUCUUAUAAAGUGCAUCAUAAAUAUCUCAUAACACAAAAGUAAAGGUAUUUUGGGAAAUCACCAUUCGGGCUCU